Molecule: ribosomal RNA, 240 nt
Filed under: uncultured bacterium
Lineage: Bacteria
Description: partial 16S ribosomal RNA
Rfam family: Bacterial small subunit ribosomal RNA
Source: RNAcentral
UGACUCCUACGGGGGGCAGCAGUGAGGAAUAUUGGUCAAUGGUCGGGAGACUGAACCAGCCAAGCCGCGUGAGGGAGGAAGGUACAGAGUAUCGUAAACCUCUUUUGUCAGGGAACAAAGGCGGGGACGUGUUCCCGGAUGAGUGUACCUGAAGAAAAAGCAUCGGCUAACUCCGUGCCAGCAGCCGCGGUAAUACGUAGGUGGCGAGCGUUAUCCGGAAUGAUUGGGCGUAAAGGGUGC